Molecule: long non-coding RNA, 732 nt
Organism: Gasterosteus aculeatus aculeatus (three-spined stickleback)
Lineage: Eukaryota; Metazoa; Chordata; Actinopteri; Perciformes; Gasterosteidae
Source: Ensembl
CCCCUCCUCCAUCUCCGCGGCAAUGGUUCACGUUUUAAGGACUACGGUAAUCUUUCGCUGGGAAGCUUCACUCGUUUCUGAAGUAGCAGCUGGACAGACGUUGCUCUCGCCCCGUCCUCGUCAAACCACUUCACAGGCCAUUCAAUUAGCUGCAGAAGCACGGGAGAUGGAGCCAUUACGGCGCUGAUGAGAUGCACAAGGACAGGUUUUAAAGUGUUCGAUCUCGUGACUGCCACGGCGAAGCUGUUGUCCGUGGGUACCAUCCACAGGAUUUACUCUCAACCCGUUUCCUGGUUACUGGUCCAGAAGAAGCCGAGACGUCCCCUCUUUCCUUUCGUCCACUUUCCCCCUCCGGUGAAGCGCGGCCUGCCUCUGCUGAGGCCUCGGACCGCUUUCAGCAGGCCAGGCUCGUCCCGUGCUCCUCGGGGCCUCUGGCCCGGAUCGUGAACGCGCUUUGCUCCGCCCGCCGGUAACAGCCGCUGAGGUAGCUGCACAGACACCUGAGGAAACACCACCCAAGUACAGACGUUAGGUGGGAACGGACUCGAGGGGCACGAGUGUACCAAAGAUCCGCUCUCCAGGGAAGGGAAGAUGUCAGCUGAAAUGUAUUUUUUCCAAUAUUCAGCUUCAACGGUAAACAAAGAGGCCCCUGAGGCCCCGCCUCCUCGCCUACCACCACGAUUGUUUAUUCAAAGUUCACGGAUAUUAAACAUGUCACCUGUUUAUAACCCA